CGUAGGUGGCAAGCGUUGUCCGGAAUUACUGGGUGUAAAGGGCGUGUAGGCGGGAAGAUAAGUCAGAUGUGAAAGUUCCGGGGCUCCAACCCCCGGCGCUGCAUCUGAAACUUAUUUUUCUUGAGUGAUGGAGAGGAAAGCGGAAUUCCUAGUGUAGCGGUGAAAUGCGUAGAUAUUAGGAGGAACACCAGUGGCGAAGGCGGCUUUCUGGACAUUAACUGACGCUGAGGCGCGAAAGCGGUGGGGAGCAAACAGGAUUAGAUACCCUGGUAGUCCACGCUGUAAACGAUGGAUACUAGGUGUGGGGAGGUAUCGACCCCUUCCGUGCCGGAGUUAACACAAUAAGUAUCCCACCUGGGGAGUACGGCCGCAAGGUUG
This 378-nucleotide ribosomal RNA is filed under the name uncultured organism. Its description in RNAcentral is "bacterial SSU rRNA". It matches the Rfam family "Bacterial small subunit ribosomal RNA", at positions 526 to 896 of the family's 1533-position model. The record is from RNAcentral.